Oryctolagus cuniculus (rabbit) is the source of this 1833-nucleotide non-coding RNA. The record is from RefSeq and is a predicted model, not a curated record. NCBI's taxonomy places the organism in Eukaryota, Metazoa, Chordata, Mammalia, Lagomorpha, Leporidae.
UGGUGCAGACAUCUGAACAGUGGUUAAGAUGCUGGUUGGAACUCCUCUAUGCCAUAUUGGAGUGCCUGGUUUCGAGUCCUGGCUCUGCUCCUGAUUCUAAUUUCCCUGCUGGUGUGAACUCUGGGAGGCAACAGAAGAUGGUUAGUGAUCAGGUUUCAGCUUCCUGGGUAGGAAACCUCCACGGAGUUACUGGAUCUCGGCUUUGGCCUGUCCCAACUGUGGCCUUUGUGGACAUUUAGGAAGUGAAACAGGAGAUGGGAAUCUCUCCCUAUCUGACUAAGCAAGUCUUUUUCUCUCCUGUUCAUACAUACAUACAUACAUAUAUACAUAAAAUUUUAAAACAUAGCUAAACAUGAAAUGACCCUUCUGAGAAAGGAGCUAGAAGUGUGGAAGAAAAAGAUCCAGUAAUGGAGCAUGGGCGACCACCUUCCAUACACGGAGGCCACUCUACUUAUUUCCUAGCUCCACAGUCAGGAGUGCCAACGUGUUCAAUAUGCUUAUGUCAUCUUACAGAAUAUGUGUUCACUUGACCAUCUGCCUGAGAAUGCCUCAGCUGGCUUUUCUUUUCGUGAGGAAAUAUAUUGAUACUGCUUUGUUUCUGGAUACACAUUUGGGUUGAUGAUGUAUUGAGAAGAAAGAACAAAAACUGGAAGGAGGAGACAGACAAAAGUCCAACAGUCCUUUGCCAUGGCCCAAUUGGAAAAUAUUUCAGUUGACCUGGACACUGGUAGUUGGAUUGACUCGGAAUAUCACAUCUGCUUAUGAAUGCAAUGGUUGAUGAUGUCUCAGCUCCUGAGAACAGGGAUGGGUAACUCGAGCUCCCUCUGCUGUCUGCCUACUUCUUUUUAUAGUAGUUAAAAAGGACCGAAAAUAAUAAUUUAAACACACAGCAUUUUAAAAAAGCUGUCAUGAAAGAAGCAGGAGUGACUUACACUUUUAAAUUUACUUCUAUAAGUAAUAGCAUCACUUACUUAAUUUUAUCAAGGAAAUGAGGAUUCUAAAAAGGCUGAAUAGGGAAAAGAUCUGCUGCUUUGGACAAGGGGAAAAUAGCAGAAUAAAAGUGGAGGAAAUGCAUUCCCAAGAGAGUGUUGGAGAAAAAUUUAUAGUAGAAAUUCUACAGAAGGAAGAUAGACACUGUGAAGCAGUGUGGGAAGUGCCGACGCAUAACAGCAAGCAGCAACACCAUACAUAAUUCCCAUAGCCAGGGACUGCCUGAGGGAGUACCGUAUGAACCACACUUUGAGUCCAGCCUGGAGCCCUAGGAGGAGGGCAGGGUACCCACCUAAUCGAGUAAAAGAAAAGCAGAUUUUUUCUACCCAUACCUCCACAAGGGCACCUGGCAACUAGCAGGGAGAGGCAACAUCUUGAAACCAGUAGAGGCUGCAGUGGCUUGCAGGCACCUGUGUGACCAAGGGUGUUGAGUUGGAUUUGCUCUGAGAGGAGGAGUGUGGUGGAGGCAAGAGACGUGGAGUCACCACACAGACCCCGGGAGUGAGGUGAAAGCGGGCCAGAGGCAAGCAGCCUGCAGACUCGUUUAUUUCAGUUGCUACAGCAGUUUAUAUUGCCAAGGCAGCCAAUCUGGUCAAGGGGUGGUCUAUGCCCUAACCAAUCACAACCUGUUGCCAGGCAGUUUCUGAAGUCAUCCAAUCACAGCCUGUUACCAGUCAGGCUCUAUUGUCAUGUGGUUUCUGAAACCAUCCAAUCACAGCCUGUUGCCAGGCAGUUUCUGUUGCCAGUGGUCAUCUUGGCAUGGCCUUCUCAUUCCACCACACAAGGGAUUUUACCUUAGGGAAAUUUGUGUUCCUCAAUGACCGAAUCUGGCUGGGAGGGUUG